UUUCUCCCCCUUGUUGGUAUCUCUUUCCCCCACUUGCUGCUGUGGCAGAUUCUGGACAGUGUGCAGCCUGUGAGGUAAUCUGAAUUCCUUGGCAACCAGCAAGUACCUGAAUUCUUUCAAAACCACAGGAAUCCAGCAGAGAAAAGUGAAAAUUUGGCUAUUAGCCUUGAAUCAAAAGGGCUUUGUCAAAUCAUUUAAACCCAAUAUUGGAUCCACCUAAAGCUGCAAAAUCCAGGACAAAGUCUUUCUGGAUUGCAACUCUGACAGGGAAAAGAAUCUUCACCAUUUUGGUAGAGAACAACACCCUCUCUGGAAGAUCUAUUCUGAAGAACAAUGGCAAGUUAUCUUAAUACCCUAGGAUCUUCAUUCAUAACAACUGUCAUUGCAUGAAAAUACCACGUGAUCCUGGAUACCUGCUGGUGUGUGUUUACACAAA
This is a long non-coding RNA of Cynocephalus volans (Philippine flying lemur), 436 nucleotides long. RefSeq lists it as uncharacterized. The transcript is spliced from 3 exons. NCBI's taxonomy places the organism in Eukaryota, Metazoa, Chordata, Mammalia, Dermoptera, Cynocephalidae. The record is from RefSeq and is a predicted model, not a curated record.